This is an RNA transcript of Mus musculus (house mouse), 3234 nucleotides long. It is a transcript of the gene named protocadherin gamma subfamily B, 8, transcript variant 1, non-coding, with no coding region annotated. Lineage: Eukaryota; Metazoa; Chordata; Mammalia; Rodentia; Muridae. The record is from RefSeq and is marked validated. The transcript has 4 exons.
ACGUGGAGCGUUUGGGUUUUCUUCCUGGUUGGAAGUAAUUCGCGAAGCCUCCUCCCUUCACACUGGUGCGGGAGAAGGAUGGAGCGCAGCAGCGUGAAGCUAGGGAGCAGGACCCCGUGGAGGCAAGUACUCUUUCCCUUCUUGCUGCCUUUGUUCUGCACGGGGCUCUCAGAGCAAGUCCGGUACUCUAUUCCGGAAGAAAUGGCCAUGGGUUCAGUCGUGGGAAAUCUCGCUGAGGACCUGGGGCUGCCUGUUCAGGACUUACUGACAAGAAACCUUAGAGUUAUUGCAGAGAAACCGUAUCUUUCUGUGAACCCAGAGAACGGGAACAUAGUUGUGAGCGACAGAAUAGACCGAGAGUUUCUCUGCUUCCAAAGCCCUCUGUGCGUCCUGCCCUUAGAGAUUGUGGCAGAAAAUCCCCUAAACGUUUUUCACGUCAGCGUGGUGAUAGAAGAUAUAAAUGAUAACCCUCCCCGUUUCCUCCAAAAUAGCAUUGUUUUGCAAAUCAAUGAACUUGCGAUUCCAGGCACUAGGUUUGGCCUGGAAUCUGCCAUAGAUGCAGAUGUAGGGCUGAACUCUCUCCAGAGUUACCAACUCAGUUUGAAUGAGCACUUCUCUCUGGUGGUAAAGGACAACACUGAAGGAAAGGAUGCCCCCGAAUUAGUGUUGGAGAAGCCUCUGGACAGGGAAAAACAGAGCUCCCAGCUCUUGGUCCUAACCGCAGUAGAUGGGGGAGAACCAGUCCUAACGGGCACCGCUCAGAUUCAGAUCGAGGUCACUGAUGCCAAUGAUAACCCCCCAGUGUUCAGCCAAAGUACGUACAAAGUCAGUCUUAGAGAGGACAUGGCCGCAGGCACGUCUGUGCUAACAGUGAUAGCCACUGACCAGGAUGAGGGUGUCAACGCAGAAGUCACCUACUCCUUCAAAUCACUAGGAGAAGAUAUUAGAGAUAAGUUUAUCCUAGAUCAUCAAAGUGGAGAAAUUAAAUCCAAAGGCCCUAUUGACUUUGAAACCAAGAGGACUUACACCAUGAACAUAGAGGCCAAGGACGGUGGAGGCAUGGCCUCAGAAUGUAAAGUUGUAGUGGAAAUUCUCGAUGAGAACGACAAUGCCCCAGAAGUGGUUUUUACUUCCGUGUCCAAUUCUAUAACCGAAGAUGCAGAACCGGGGACAGUGGUGGCUCUGUUCAAAACGUAUGAUAAAGAUUCAGAAGAAAAUGGAAGAGUGAGUUGCUUCGUAAAAGAAACGGUUCCUUUUAGGAUUGAAUCUUCUGCCAGCAAUUACUAUAAGCUUGUAACAGAUGGGAUCCUGGACCGGGAGCAGACUCCAGAGUACAACGUCACCAUCAUCGCCACUGAUAAAGGCAAGCCCCCUCUCUCUUCCAGCACAAGCGUUACCCUGCAUGUUGGGGAUAUCAAUGACAAUGCUCCAGUUUUCCACCAGACCUCCUAUUUGAUCCAAGUGGCUGAGAACAACCCUCCUGGAGCUUCCAUUGCUCAGGUCAGCGCCUUCGACCCGGAUUUGGGAUCCAAUGGUUUCAUCUCCUACUCCAUCAUAGCCAGCGACCUAGAGCCUAAAUCACUGUGGUCCUACGUGUCGGUGAACCAGGAUAGUGGCGUGGUGUUCGCGCAGCGCGCCUUCGACCACGAACAGCUGCGCUCCUUCCAGCUGACACUGCAGGCGCGCGACCAGGGAAAGCCCUCGCUCAGCGCCAACGUGAGCAUGCGGGUGCUGGUGGGUGACCGCAACGACAACGCGCCACGCGUGCUGUAUCCCACACUCGAGCCCGACGGCUCUGCGCUCUUCGACAUGGUGCCGCGUGCUGCCGAGCCCGGAUACCUGGUCACCAAAGUGGUGGCGGUGGAUGCAGACUCUGGACACAAUGCCUGGCUAUCUUACCACGUGCUGCAGGCCAGCGAUCCCGGGCUCUUCAGCCUGGGACUGCGCACAGGCGAGGUGCGCACAGCGCGUGCCCUGGGAGACAGGGACUCAGCGCGGCAGCGCCUUCUGGUCGCUGUGCGUGAUGGUGGACAACCACCGCUCUCGGCUACAGCCACGCUGCACCUCAUCUUCGCUGACAGCCUGCAGGAGGUCCUGCCAGACCUCAGAGAUGAACCUUUGCUGUCUGACUCCCAAAGUGAGCUUCAGUUUUACCUGGUGGUGGCCUUGGCCUUGGUCUCAGUGCUCUUUCUUUUCGUUGUGAUCCUGGCCAUUGUCCUUCGCCUUCGACAGUCCCAUGGUCCUGCUGUCUCAGACUAUUUUCAGUCGGGCCUCUGCUGUAAGACGAGACCAGAGGUUUCUCUCAACUAAGGCGAGGGGACUCUUCCUUAUUCCUACAAUCUCUAUGUUGCCUCCAAUUGUCAAAAGACAAUUUCUCAAUUUCUUACCUUGACUCCAGAAAUGGUCCCUCCGCGAGACCUUUGUACGGAAGCUUCUGUAGCAGUGAGUGUCGCUGAGGAGAAUAACAAGAUAGUCUCGGAUUCUAUUGCUUCUAAUCACCAAGCCCCGCCCAACACUGACUGGCGUUUCUCUCAAGCCCAGAGACCCGGCACGAGCGGAUCCCAAAAUGGUGAUGAAACUGGCACCUGGCCCAACAACCAGUUUGAUACAGAGAUGCUGCAAGCCAUGAUCUUGGCCUCUGCCAGCGAAGCUGCUGAUGGGAGCUCUACCCUGGGAGGGGGCGCUGGCACCAUGGGUCUGAGCGCUCGAUACGGACCCCAGUUUACCCUGCAGCACGUGCCUGACUACCGCCAGAACGUGUACAUCCCUGGCAGCAAUGCCACGCUGACCAAUGCCGCUGGCAAACGAGAUGGCAAGGCUCCAGCAGGUGGUAAUGGCAACAAGAAGAAAUCGGGCAAGAAAGAGAAGAAGUAAUAUGGAGGCCAGGCCUUGAACCACAAGGCAGCCUCCCUCCCCAGCCAGUCCAGCUCGUCCUUACUUGUACCCAGGCCUCAGAAUUUCAGGGCUCACCCCAGGAUACUGGUAGGAGCCAGGGCCAUGCUCCCCGUUGGGAAACAGAAACACGUGCCCAAGCCAACACCCCCUCUCUAUACCCUAGGGAGUUGAAUAUGCAAAGAGAGUUCUGCUGGGACCCCCCUAUUCAAUCAGUGAUUGUACCCACAUGGGUAGCAGGGUUUGUGUGUGUGGACAUACACACACACACACACACACACACACACAAACCAUGCCACACUCCCUUAGUUACAGCUGAACUCCUCCAUCUUCCAACCCAGG